UAGGCAGAUCAGAAGUAAGGGGUGAAAUCCCAGGGCUCAACCCUGGAACUGCCUCUUAAACUCCUGGUCUUGAGUUCGAGAGAGGUGAGUGGAAUUCCGAGUGUAGAGGUGAAAUUCGUAGAUAUUCGGAGGAACACCAGUGGCGAAGGCGGCUCACUGGCUCGAUACUGAC
Molecule: ribosomal RNA, 172 nt
Filed under: uncultured bacterium
Lineage: Bacteria
Description: partial 16S ribosomal RNA
Rfam family: Bacterial small subunit ribosomal RNA
Source: RNAcentral